Molecule: ribosomal RNA, 442 nt
Filed under: uncultured bacterium
Lineage: Bacteria
Description: partial 16S ribosomal RNA
Rfam family: Bacterial small subunit ribosomal RNA
Source: RNAcentral
CCUACGGGAGGCAGCAGUAGGGAAUCUUUCACAAUGGGCGAAAGCCUGAUGGAGCAACGCCGCGUGCAGGAUGAAGGCCUUCGGGUUGUAAACUGCUUUUAUAAGCGAGAAAUAUGAUGGUAACUUAUGAAUAAGGAUCGGCUAACUACGUGCCAGCAGCCGCGGUCAUACGUAGGAUCCGAGCAUUAUCCGGAGUGACUGGGUGUAAAGAGUUGCGUAGGUGGCAUAAUAAGUAGCUAGUGAAAUCUGGUGGCUCAACCAUUCAGACUAUUAGCUAAACUGUUAAGCUCGAGACCGUUAGGGGUAACUGGAAUUUCUAGUGUAGGAGUGAAAUCCGUAGAUAUUAGAAGGAACACCAAUAGCGUAGGCAGGUUGCUGGGACGGUUCUGACACUAAGGCACGAAAGCGUAGGGAGCAACCGGGAUUAGAUACCCCUGUAGUC